GAUCCAAUGUUUUAAGUCUUCUAGACAAGACUUCUCACCAUCUUCAUCCUUUAGGUGCAUCAUUUGAUUAGGUGUGGACCUUGACGUCUGCACCUCUUGAUACGGUGUCACCCAUGUUCUUCGUUUGCCCAGCAGUUCGAAGUGCGAUACUAGCAAUAUCCUGCUCAGUGUGUUUGUGCUCGUAGAUCCAGGUCCUUCACUUGGUGGAGUCUGGGAGUUGUAAAACUCCUCCAUGUUUUGCUUGAGGUGUACCUAUUCAUAGAGACAAGGCAG
RNAcentral lists this long non-coding RNA (273 nucleotides) under Sorghum bicolor (sorghum). Its description in RNAcentral is "long non-coding RNA (SBIC_LNC006663)". The record is from RNAcentral. Lineage: Eukaryota; Viridiplantae; Streptophyta; Magnoliopsida; Poales; Poaceae.